RNAcentral lists this ribosomal RNA (570 nucleotides) under Anodonta anatina. RNAcentral describes it as "partial 12S ribosomal RNA". Lineage: Eukaryota; Metazoa; Mollusca; Bivalvia; Unionida; Unionidae. The record is from RNAcentral.
GGAGUAGUUUAUCCCCUAAGACUACAAAAUUAACUUUUAGUGUAAAAAACAAAUUAUAACUAAACCCAAUCUAGCCAUAAAUAAACUAUUCCAACAAACCAUAACCUCAGAACUCGGAUUAGAUACCCGACUACUGUAUGGCCCAACACAUAAAAGAAUACUACGAGCGAAAGCUUAAAACUCAAACAAUGUGGCGGUGCUUUACUCCUCAUCAGGGGAUCCUGUGGCUUAAUUCGAUAAUCCACGAAGAUCUUAGCUACUCUUGUUUACAGCUUGUGUAUGGCCGUUUAUGCUUGCUCAUAGAAGAAAAAAAAGGAAGCAAUAGGACUAAUUACCCAAAAAUUCAGGUGACAUACAGCCAAUGAGUAGCAGAUCCAUGGGAUACAAAUAAACAUACUACCAGAUUUUAAAACCUAAAACUUUAAUGAAGGAGGACUUGAAAGUAAGAUUUAUCCUUAUAUAAUAUAGAUCUGGACAAGAACUAAAGCGCGCACAAAUCGCCCGUCACUCCGACAAUAAAGUCGGAUAAGUCGUAACAUAGUAGGGGUAAUGGAAAUUGCCCCUAUCACA